UAAGUUAGAAAGGGCGCACGGUGGAUGCCUUGACACUAGGAGUCGAUGAAGGACGGGACUAACGCCGAUAUGCUUCGGGGAGCUGUAAGUAAGCUUUGAUCCGAAGAUUUCCGAAUGGGGAAACCCACCAUACGUAAUGGUAUGGUAUCCUUAUCUGAAUACAUAGGAUAAGGAAGACAGACCCAGGGAACUGAAACAUCUAAGUACCUGGAGGAAGAGAAAGCAAAUGCGAUUUCCUGAGUAGCGGCGAGCGAAACGGAACAUAGCCCAAACCAAGAGGCUUGCCUCUUGGGGUUGUAGGACAUUCUAUACGGAGUUACAAAGGAACGAGGUAGACGAAGCGACCUGGAAAGGUCCGUCGUAGAGGGUAACAACCCCGUAGUCGAAACUUCGUUCUCUCUUGAAUGUAUCCUGAGUACGGCGGAACACGUGAAAUUCCGUCGGAAUCUGGGAGGACCAUCUCCCAAGGCUAAAUACUCCCUAGUGAUCGAUAGUGAACCAGUACCGUGAGGGAAAGGUGAAAAGCACCCCGGAAGGGGAGUGAAAGAGAUCCUGAAACCGUGUGCCUACAAAUAGUCAGAGCCCGUUAAUGGGUGAUGGCGUGCCUUUUGUAGAAUGAACCGGCGAGUUACGAUCCCGUGCGAGGUUAAGCUGAAGAGGCGGAGCCGCAGCGAAAGCGAGUCUGAAUAGGGCGUUUAGUACGUGGUCGUAGACCCGAAACCAGGUGAUCUACCCAUGUCCAGGGUGAAGUUCAGGUAACACUGAAUGGAGGCCCGAACCCACGCACGUUGAAAAGUGCGGGGAUGAGGUGUGGGUAGCGGAGAAAUUCCAAUCGAACCUGGAGAUAGCUGGUUCUCCCCGAAAUAGCUUUAGGGCUAGCCUUAAGUGUAAGAGUCUUGGAGGUAGAGCACUGAUUGGACUAGGGGUCCUCAUCGGAUUACCGAAUUCGGUCAAACUCCGAAUGCCAAUGACUUAUCCUUAGGAGUCAGACUGCGAGUGAUAAGAUCCGUAGUCAAAAGGGAAACAGCCCAGACCGCCAGCUAAGGUCCCAAAGUGUGUAUUAAGUGGAAAAGGAUGUGGAGUUGCUUAGACAACUAGGAUGUUGGCUUAGAAGCAGCCACCAUUUAAAGAGUGCGUAAUAGCUCACUAGUCGAGUGACUCUGCGCCGAAAAUGUACCGGGGCUAAAUACACCACCGAAGCUGCGGAUUGAUACCAAUGGUAUCAGUGGUAGGGGAGCGUUCUAAGGACAGUGAAGUCAGACCGGAAGGACUGGUGGAGUGCUUAGAAGUGAGAAUGCCGGUAUGAGUAGCGAAAGACGGGUGAGAAUCCCGUCCACCGAAUGCCUAAGGUUUCCUGAGGAAGGCUCGUCCGCUCAGGGUUAGUCAGGACCUAAGCCGAGGCCGACAGGCGUAGGCGAUGGACAACAGGUUGAUAUUCCUGUACCACCUCUUUAUCGUUUGAGCAAUGGAGGGACGCAGAAGGAUAGAAGAAGCGUGCGAUUGGUUGUGCACGUCCAAGCAGUUAGGCUGAUAAGUAGGCAAAUCCGCUUAUCGUGAAGGCUGAGCUGUGAUGGGGAAGCUCCUUAUGGAGCGAAGUCUUUGAUUCCCCGCUGCCAAGAAAAGCUUCUAGCGAGAUAAAAGGUGCCUGUACCGCAAACCGACACAGGUAGGCGAGGAGAGAAUCCUAAGGUGUGCGAGAGAACUCUGGUUAAGGAACUCGGCAAAAUGACCCCGUAACUUCGGGAGAAGGGGUGCUUUCUUAACGGAAAGCCGCAGUGAAUAGGCCCAAGCGACUGUUUAGCAAAAACACAGCUCUCUGCGAAGCCGUAAGGCGAAGUAUAGGGGGUGACACCUGCCCGGUGCUGGAAGGUUAAGGAGAGGGGUUAGCGUAAGCGAAGCUCUGAACUGAAGCCCCAGUAAACGGCGGCCGUAACUAUAACGGUCCUAAGGUAGCGAAAUUCCUUGUCGGGUAAGUUCCGACCCGCACGAAAGGUGUAACGAUUUGGGCACUGUCUCAACCAGAGACUCGGUGAAAUUAUAGUACCUGUGAAGAUGCAGGUUACCCGCGACAGGACGGAAAGACCCCGUGGAGCUUUACUGUAGCCUGAUAUUGAAUUUUGGUACAGUUUGUACAGGAUAGGCGGGAGCCUUUGAAACCGGAGCGCUAGCUUCGGUGGAGGCGCUGGUGGGAUACCGCCCUGACUGUAUUGAAAUUCUAACCUACGGGUCUUAUCGACCCGGGAGACAGUGUCAGGUGGGCAGUUUGACUGGGGCGGUCGCCUCCUAAAGUGUAACGGAGGCGCCCAAAGGUUCCCUCAGAAUGGUUGGAAAUCAUUCGUAGAGUGCAAAGGCAUAAGGGAGCUUGACUGCGAGACCUACAAGUCGAGCAGGGACGAAAGUCGGGCUUAGUGAUCCGGUGGUUCCGCAUGGAAGGGCCAUCGCUCAACGGAUAAAAGCUACCCCGGGGAUAACAGGCUUAUCUCCCCCAAGAGUCCACAUCGACGGGGAGGUUUGGCACCUCGAUGUCGGCUCAUCGCAUCCUGGGGCUGUAGUCGGUCCCAAGGGUUGGGCUGUUCGCCCAUUAAAGCGGUACGCGAGCUGGGUUCAGAACGUCGUGAGACAGUUCGGUCCCUAUCCGUCGUGGGCGUAGGAAAUUUGAGAGGAGCUGUCCUUAGUACGAGAGGACCGGGAUGGACGCACCGCUGGUGUACCAGUUGUUCUGCCAAGGGCAUAGCUGGGUAGCUAUGUGCGGAAGGGAUAAGUGCUGAAAGCAUCUAAGCAUGAAGCCCCCCUCAAGAUGAGAUUUCCCAUAGCGUAAGCUAGUAAGAUCCCUGAAAGAUGAUCAGGUUGAUAGGUUCGAGGUGGAAGCAUGGUGACAUGUGGAGCUGACGAAUACUAAUAGAUCGAGGACUUAACCA
This 2918-nucleotide ribosomal RNA is filed under the name Bacillus anthracis (anthrax bacterium). RNAcentral describes it as "bacterial LSU rRNA". It matches the Rfam family "Bacterial large subunit ribosomal RNA". Lineage: Bacteria; Bacillati; Bacillota; Bacilli; Caryophanales; Bacillaceae. The record is from RNAcentral.